AUAGAUACCCAGGUAGUCCACGCCGUAAACGAUGAGUGCUAAGUGUUAGAGGGUUUCCGCCCUUUAGUGCUGCAGCUAACGCAUUAAGCACUCCGCCUGGGGAGUACGGUCGCAAGACUGAAACUCAAAGGAAUUGACGGGGGCCCGCACAAGCGGUGGAGCAUGUGGUUUAAUUCGAAGCAACGCGAAGAGCCUUACCAGGUCUUGACAUCCUCUGACAACUCUAGAGAUAGAGCGUUCCCCUUCGGGGGACAGAGUGACAGGUGGUGCAUGGUUGUCGUCAGCUCGUGUCGUGAGAUGUUGGGUUAAGUCCCGCAACGAGCGCAACCCUUGAUCUUAGUUGCCAGCAUUCAGUUGGGCACUCUAAGGUGACUGCCGGUGACAAACCGGAGAAAGGUGGGGAUGACGUCAAAUCAUCAUGCCCCUUAUGACCUGGGCUACACACGUGCUACAAUGGAUGGUACAAAGGGCUGCAAGACCGCGAGGUCAAGCCAAUCCCAUAAAACCAUUCUCAGUUCGGAUUGU
RNAcentral lists this ribosomal RNA (525 nucleotides) under uncultured bacterium. Its description in RNAcentral is "bacterial SSU rRNA". It matches the Rfam family "Bacterial small subunit ribosomal RNA", at positions 778 to 1301 of the family's 1533-position model. The record is from RNAcentral.